RNAcentral lists this long non-coding RNA (1377 nucleotides) under Homo sapiens (human). RNAcentral describes it as "HSALNT0122549". Lineage: Eukaryota; Metazoa; Chordata; Mammalia; Primates; Hominidae. The record is from RNAcentral.
GCACCAUCUAAUCAGCUGCAAUCUCAGAUAGAAUACAGCAGACUGAAGAAUGUGGAAGGACUUGACUUCCUGAGUCUGCCAGCCUUCAUCUCCCUCUCGUGCUGGAUAGUUCCUGCCUGCGAACAUCAGACUCCCAAGUUCUUCAGCUUUAGGACUCCUGGACUUACGCAAGUGGUUUAACAGGGGCUCUUGGGUUUUUGGCCACAGACUGAAGGCUGCACUGUUGGCUUCCUUGCUUUUGAGGUCUUGAGACUCAGGCUGGCUUCCUGGCUCCUCAGCUUGCAGACAGCCUAUUGUGGGACUUCACCUUGUGAUCAUAAAUGGGAUCUCAUUCUGCCACCCAGUCUGGCUUGCAGUGAUGCAAUCAUAGCUCACUGCAGCCUCAAACUCAUGGGUUCAAGUGAUCCUCCUGCCUCAGCCUCCUGAGUAGCUGGGAUUAAAAGCACGUGUCACCACCCCCAGCUUGAUCCUAUAAUUUCUAUUUAGGAGAAAGCACUUAGAAUCAAAACUUAAGUAAGUGUUUAAAAAACAACUGUGAAUGCUUUUAAACAUGCUACAUAAAGGCCAUUCAUUUAGAAGCUCAUGGAUUUUUAUAAAAGUUUGAAGCAUGGUCUUAACUGCCACAGCUCCCACCAUCAGGUGUGCUGAGAUACCCGACCAAGAGGCUCAGGAGAAGCCAGAAUAGAUAUAUAUCAGGACUUAGCUAAGGGAACCUGAGCAAAAAAGGGGCUUUAUCAUGAAGGAUUAAUUCUCAAAGUAAACCUCCAACAUCCCAUGCCAUGGUCCAUGACUAUGGAAUCCAAUAGCAGAGCUGGUUGAGUCCAGCACUUGUGGGGCAUCUCAGAUCCAGGGUAGCAUCCCAGAGGGUUGUGUGCAGAGAUCUCAACAUAGGGGAUCUUCAAAAGGACAUCAGCCUGAGAAAGAGGGUAAAAACACUCUGCCUGACUGCUUUGCCCAGGGCCCCAGCAAGACAGGAUUUAGAGGUACACUGCUGUGGAGGGGUCGAUAAAUCAAAGAUUGCUAAAUUUUGCCAACAUACAGAAAUGAGUGAGGUUUUCUAGAGGGUCUGGCCACAAAGCAAGCAUGUCAAAUUUUGUGGUGACAGAUGCUGGGCUUUCAGGAGUUGAAGAUGGUGAAGCUUGUACUCUCACAGAAACCCAAGAGAGUGUGAACAUUAUUUGUUAUUUUCUAGGCUUUACCAUACAUGGAAAUAAGCCAUCAUCUAUGCACACAUAUUUCAGUAUCUGCUACCCCAUACCAUACCCAUACUUUUUCAUUACUGCGGGAAUAUGAAUUUUGUCUUGUAUCUCACUAUUCUUUGCUGUACUUGAUGAAUGAUAAAUUUGUCAAUAAAUACUUGUUGAGUAAAUUUAUGAA